ACCGGCUAACUACGUGCCAGCAGCCGCGGUAAUACGUAGGGUGCGAGCGUUAAUCGGAAUUACUGGGCGUAAAGCGUGCGCAGGCGGUUAUGUAAGACAGAUGUGAAAUCCCCGGGCUCAACCUGGGAACUGCGUUUGUGACUGCAUAACUAGAGUACGGCAGAGGGAGGUGGAAUUCCACGUGUAGCAGUGAAAUGCGUAGAGAUGUGGAGGAACACCGAUGGCGAAGGCAGCCUCCUGGGCCAGUACUGACGCUCAUGCACGAAAGCGUGGGGAGCAAACAGGAUUAGAUACCCUGGUAGUCCACGCCCUAAACGAUGUCAACUAGUUGUUCGGUGAGGAGACUCAUUGAGUAACGCAGCUAACGCGUGAAGUUGACCGCCUGGGGAGUACGGUCGCAAGAUUAAAACUCAAAUGAAUUGACGGA
This 427-nucleotide ribosomal RNA is filed under the name uncultured bacterium. Its description in RNAcentral is "bacterial SSU rRNA". It matches the Rfam family "Bacterial small subunit ribosomal RNA", at positions 492 to 917 of the family's 1533-position model. The record is from RNAcentral.